GCCACGGCCCGCCUGGGCCGUCAGCUCUCCCGGUCUCGCGUCGUUACUCCUGCGUGAAGCGGUGAGUCGCGCGCGGGUCGGCGACUCACUCUGGGGGUCUCCACCGCUGAACCCUCUUGAAAGACUGACUGGCGGAAACUGGGACUGGAGUGUGAGCAUCUGAGGGGCUCUCCAGUGGGGCUUGGAGAGGAAUGUCUCAAAUGACUUUUCUUGAAAGCUGAGGGAGGUUUUGAAGAUCAAGUGAAGGAAGAGGGCCUAGCUCGUCUACUGGUGGCAUCUUCUCAUCAAUCCUGUCAUCAAUUGCUAGAAAUAUGAGAACUCUCCAGAAGAUCAAGUACCGUGUAGUAGUUACCAUGCACAGGCCCCAUAGAGCCCUGGCCUUUGAGAAUGCCCUAUUCCCCAACCCAAAAGAAGGUAAACAUUUAGAAGAUUUCUCCAGACCCACGGGAUUUUCAUAAAUUGGUAGAGAUUGAUCCAGAUGUGCUUAAAACCAGGGAAAAUGUCAUUUUAAAUGAUGUUAAUUACUGAGAACUUUUAAUAACAUGGGGAAAUGAUUAUAUUAUAAUAUUGUUAAAAAUUCUGCAUGCAAAUUUAACAAGUAUAGAUAAAAUCACCUUAUCUGUAUAAUGAUAUGCAUAGAAGAGAGACUGAAUAGAAAUAUAGCUAAAGUUAAUAUUAGUUCUUCUUUGUGAUGAGAUUUGGGGUUAUUUUUGUUUUUUUCUUUAUACCUCUCUGUAUUUCUGAAUUUUCCAAAUUGAGCAUGUAUUGGUUUUAUAAUCACAAAAUAUGCUUAUAUUUUAAAGAUUAAAAAUUGAGGUAGAGGGUAUAUAACCCAAUGCUAGGAUUGAGAGUCAUCUCCAGGAGAUGUGGUUCCAGGACUCAGAGGUCAGAUAUGUUGGAACCCUGAUGCCUACUUGUCCUCUUGGGAUCUGGCCACAGUGUGCUGCCCCACGCCUAGAAAUUCUGAUUAUGCUCCUACAGUGCCCUCCUGUCUAGUUCAGGUCUCUGAACACUGAUCCUCCCUCCCCUCAGACCUCUAACUCCUGACUCUGAACUUAGACUUUUCUUUCUGGAUUUAUGUGGCCACCCCUCUUUCUCUACUAAUGACUCAACACAACCUCUCCCUCCCUCUCCCACACCUUUCUCCCAACCUUUUGUAUUCUGAGGCUACCCACAGUACUGACAGCUGUGUCCUUCAUGAGCAGGGUGGCUAAAAAGUAGCGGCACAAAAUGAGAGGAGGGGGACAAGAGAAGGGAAAUGCUGAGGGAGAUGCUUCUGAGGUUUCCUUCCUUGUGGGCGUUUGACACUCCUGGCGUCUGUCUACUUCUCUUACUCCUCCUCCUUAGCGGAGGGGCUUAAUCUGCUUUGAGAAUUGAGAAGUACACAGGGCAGGCUCAGCUUAGCUCCUUCUUUCUUCCACUUAGGCAUCACCUGCCCACAGUGAGGAUGUCACCUUGGUCUGCUCCUCUGGGAGCAGGGUCCCCUUCCUACUCCCACUCCUACUCCCAGCGUGAGAAGUCCUGUCCUGGUCAAAUGUUACUUGUGACUGGGUGAACAAGUCGACCUAAUUCUGAAACUCAUUUAGUAUUUAGUAUCCCGUUAUCUCUCACAAUAAACAGACUUUAUCAGCAAUCAACGUGGUUUUUCGGUCUCCAUCUGCUCACUCUUUUGUUUCAUUUCACAUCUUGACCAGAACCCAGGAUAGGGAUUGAGGAAAAGAAUAGGAACUUCUCAGA
Long non-coding RNA from Balaenoptera musculus (blue whale), 1737 nucleotides. RefSeq lists it as uncharacterized. The record is from RefSeq and is a predicted model, not a curated record. The transcript is spliced from 3 exons. NCBI's taxonomy places the organism in Eukaryota, Metazoa, Chordata, Mammalia, Artiodactyla, Balaenopteridae.